GCCGGGUUAGCUCAGUGGUAGAGCAGUUGAUUUGUAAUCAUCAGGUCGUCGGUUCAAGUCCGACACUCGGCUCCA
This 75-nucleotide transfer RNA is filed under the name Prosthecobacter sp. RNAcentral's name for it is "tRNA-Thr". It matches the Rfam family "tRNA". Rfam says of the family: Transfer RNA (tRNA) molecules are approximately 80 nucleotides in length. Their secondary structure includes four short double-helical elements and three loops (D, anti-codon, and T loops). Further hydrogen bonds mediate the characteristic L-shaped molecular structure. tRNAs have two regions of fundamental functional importance: the anti-codon, which is responsible for specific mRNA codon recognition, and the 3' end, to which the tRNAs corresponding amino acid is attached (by aminoacyl-tRNA synthetases). tRNAs cope with the degeneracy of the genetic code in two manners: having more than one tRNA (with a specific anti-codon) for a particular amino acid; and 'wobble' base-pairing, i.e. permitting non-standard base-pairing at the 3rd anti-codon position. Lineage: Bacteria; Pseudomonadati; Verrucomicrobiota; Verrucomicrobiia; Verrucomicrobiales; Verrucomicrobiaceae. The record is from RNAcentral. RNAcentral also lists the same sequence under 3 other names.